RNAcentral lists this ribosomal RNA (590 nucleotides) under Carabus lusitanicus latus. RNAcentral's name for it is "partial large subunit ribosomal RNA". It matches the Rfam family "Bacterial large subunit ribosomal RNA", at positions 1921 to 2748 of the family's 2925-position model. Lineage: Eukaryota; Metazoa; Arthropoda; Insecta; Coleoptera; Carabidae. The record is from RNAcentral.
UUUUAAAUGGCCGCAGUAUUUUGACUGUGCAAAGGUAGCAUAAUCAUUAGUUUUUUAAUUAAAAGCUUGUAUGAAAGGCUGGACGAGGUAAAAUCUGUCUCUAUUUAAAUUAUUGUAGAAUUUAACUUUUAAGUUAAAAGGCUUAAAUAUUAUUAAAAGACGAGAAGACCCUAUAGAUCUUUAUAGUUUAUUAAAUUAAAUCAAUUUAGAAAUAUUAAUAUUUUAUUUAAUUAAGUUAUUUUAUUGGGGUAAUAAAAAGAUUGAAUUAAUUCUUUUUUAUAAUAAACAUUAAUUUAUGAAUAUUAAUGAUCCAGUUUUACUGAUUAUAAGAUUAAGUUACCUUAGGGAUAACAGCGUAAUUUUUUUAGAGAGUUCAUAUCGAUAAAAAAGUUUGCGACCUCGAUGUUGGAUUAAAGAUUAUUUUAGGUGUAGAAGCUUAAUAAUUUUGGUCUGUUCGACCAUUAAAUCUUUACAUGAUCUGAGUUCAGACCGGCGUAAGCCAGGUCGGUUUCUAUCUUUAAUAAAAUAAAAUAUUUUAGUACGAAAGGACCAAAUAUUUGAUAUAUUUAUAUUUAAUUUAUUGAAUAUUA